AAAUAUUGGCCGGAAAGUACUGUAGCUGCCGGAAAAAUCACUGUAGGUCGCCGGAAAAAAAUAAAAGUUGUCGGAAUCGAACAAAAAGUGGAUGGGUAGGGUCGGAAUUGUAUUCCGAGCAAUUUGUUCUGAAGGAGCGAAGCCAAAAAAUGGCCGGAAAUAGCCCCACGCGCCGGCGCGUGGUCUGACGUGCCGACAGCUGUGGUGGCGCGUGGGAGCGCGUGACGAGGAUUCUGCCGGAGAAAUUUCUGGGGUUUGGUCGGAAUUGUGAGCCGAACCUCGCGGUGGUCU
RNAcentral lists this long non-coding RNA (291 nucleotides) under Nicotiana benthamiana. Its description in RNAcentral is "long non-coding RNA (NBEN_LNC001676)". Lineage: Eukaryota; Viridiplantae; Streptophyta; Magnoliopsida; Solanales; Solanaceae. The record is from RNAcentral.